Molecule: long non-coding RNA, 340 nt
Organism: Quercus lobata
Lineage: Eukaryota; Viridiplantae; Streptophyta; Magnoliopsida; Fagales; Fagaceae
Exons: 3
Source: RefSeq, a predicted model, not a curated record
GUUUCUUUCUUCAGAUUUGUCUCUAACAAGUUUUUUAGAUCACUUAUGCUUUUUUGUUUUUGGUUGUUGCAGACAUCAUCUUUCUUUCUUCACAUUUUUAAGGUUCAGUUUACAAAGAAAAGAAUACAGACUGGAGGGAGAGUGGGGCUACAGUUAAUGCUAUUUAUUAGAGAUAUUUGGAGGUGCUGGGGAAGCUGUUGCUGAUCUGAAGCAGCUGUUCUCCCUUGCUGAAAAGUUUGGUUAUGCUGAAUGGAUUGAAUUUGAUGCAUCUAUUGUCCGUGGGCUUGCAUACUACACUGGUAUUGUGUUCGAGACUGAUCAAGUUGAUGUCCGAAUAAAA